RNAcentral lists this transfer RNA (76 nucleotides) under Dysgonomonas gadei ATCC BAA-286. RNAcentral describes it as "tRNA-Lys". It matches the Rfam family "tRNA". From Rfam's summary of the family: Transfer RNA (tRNA) molecules are approximately 80 nucleotides in length. Their secondary structure includes four short double-helical elements and three loops (D, anti-codon, and T loops). Lineage: Bacteria; Pseudomonadati; Bacteroidota; Bacteroidia; Bacteroidales; Dysgonomonadaceae. The record is from RNAcentral.
GACUCCGUAGCUCAGUUGGUAGAGCAAUUGACUCUUAAUCAAUGGGUCGAGGGUUCGAGCCCCUCCGGGGUCACCU